AAAUGCUAGACCUUCUCUAAUGGGAGGUUUUUAGAGAGAUUUUAAAUGUUUCUUAAGAAAAAAAAUAAAUCAGAUAAAAGAAAAAAUAUAAGAGAGCCUCUUAUAUAGUAUACUCAAAUUUGGAAUAAGAGACCCUACAUGUCACGUUUAUGUUGGCCAAUGAAAUUAAUAGAAGAGGAAAAAGGAAGGAAAUGGAAGUGAAAUUAUUUUGUUUCCUGCUAGAUUUUUUCUUUAUUUUUCUCUCUGUUUCUCUCUCUUUUUCUUGCAAUAAAAGUCCCGAAUCGAAAAAGGAAGGAAAUGGAAUCGAAGAAUAUGGAAUCAGAGGAGGUUGGGGUCAGAGGCGAUGCGUAGCGGAGGAGAUUUCGGCGGAGGUGAUGCGUAGCGGAGGAGAUUUCACGAUUAGCGAUUUGUAGAAGAUAAUUCAGUGGGCCUUGACACAACAAAGGCCCAACUCUCUCAAGUCCAAGUCCAGUCAAUCUCACACAAUCAAACUCAGCAGAAACAGACAAAGAACAAAGCUGUCACACUCUUGAGCAGUAAGACCGUUGACGACAGUACGAAAAAGACGACGACGACGUGCUCAGAUAAGAACAAGUUUGGUCCUCUGCAAGGUUUACCUGGUCCUCUGCAAGGUUUACCUGAUGACUCGCCAUAUACAGCUGUGAGCUAAGGAUAAGUUAUCUUUAUUCUUAUUCUAGAUUGUGCCAAAGAUGUGUAUAUAACAAACUUGUAAAAACCCAAUUCAUCAGUAAAGUAAAUACAAGAUAUUUUUCACAAA
Camelina sativa (false flax) is the source of this 778-nucleotide long non-coding RNA. RefSeq lists it as uncharacterized. The record is from RefSeq and is a predicted model, not a curated record. NCBI's taxonomy places the organism in Eukaryota, Viridiplantae, Streptophyta, Magnoliopsida, Brassicales, Brassicaceae.